GGUUAAGCGACUAAGCGUACACGGUGGAUGCCCUGGCAGUCAGAGGCGAUGAAGGACGUGCUAAUCUGCGAAAAGCGUCGGUAAGGUGAUAUGAACCGUUACAGCCGGCGAUGUCCGAAUGGGGAAACCCAGUGCAAUUCGUUGCACUAUCGUUAACUGAAUACAUAGGUUAACGAGGCGAACCGGGGGAACUGAAACAUCUAAGUACCCCGAGGAAAAGAAAUCAACCGAGAUUCCCCCAGUAGCGGCGAGCGAACGGGGAGCAGCCCAGAGUCUGAAUCAGCUUGUGUGUUAGUGGAACGGUCUGGAAAGUCCGACGGUACAGGGUGAUAGUCCCGUACACCAAAAUGCACAGGCUGUGAACUCGAAGAGUAGGGCGGGACACGUGGUAUCCUGUCUGAAUAUGGGGGGACCAUCCUCCAAGGCUAAAUACUCCUGACUGACCGAUAGUGAACCAGUACCGUGAGGGAAAGGCGAAAAGAACCCCGGCGAGGGGAGUGAAAAAGAACCUGAAACCGUGUACGUACAAGCAGUGGGAGCACCUUCGGGUGUGACUGCGUACCUUUUGUAUAAUGGGUCAGCGACUUAUAUUCUGUAGCAAGGUUAACCGUAUAGGGGAGCCGCAGGGAAACCGAGUCUUAACUGGGCGUUAAGUUGCAGGGUAUAGACCCGAAACCCGGUGAUCUAGCCAUGGGCAGGUUGAAGGUUGGGUAACACUAACUGGAGGACCGAACCGACUAAUGUUGAAAAAUUAGCGGAUGACUUGUGGCUGGGGGUGAAAGGCCAAUCAAACCGGGAGAUAGCUGGUUCUCCCCGAAAGCUAUUUAGGUAGCGCCUCGUGAACUCAUCUUCGGGGGUAGAGCACUGUUUCGGCUAGGGGGUCAUCCCGACUUACCAACCCGAUGCAAACUACGAAUACCGAAGAAUGUUAUCACGGGAGACACACGGCGGGUGCUAACGUCCGUCGUGAAGAGGGAAACAACCCAGACCGCCAGCUAAGGUCCCAAAGUCACAGUUAAGUGGGAAACGAUGUGGGAAGGCACAGACAGCCAGGAUGUUGGCUUAGAAGCAGCCAUCAUUUAAAGAAAGCGUAAUAGCUCACUGGUCGAGUCGGCCUGCGCGGAAGAUGUAACGGGGCUAAACUGUGCACCGAAGCUGCGGCAGCGACACUAUGUGUUGUUGGGUAGGGGAGCGUUCUGUAAGCCUGCGAAGGUGGCCUGUGAGGGUUGCUGGAGGUAUCAGAAGUGCGAAUGCUGACAUAAGUAACGAUAAUGCGGGUGAAAAGCCCGCACGCCGGAAGACCAAGGGUUCCUGUCCAACGUUAAUCGGGGCAGGGUGAGUCGACCCCUAAGGCGAGGCCGAAAGGCGUAGUCGAUGGGAAACAGGUUAAUAUUCCUGUACUUGGUGUUACUGCGAAGGGGGGACGGAGAAGGCUAUGUUAGCCGGGCGACGGUUGUCCCGGUUUAAGCAUGUAGGCGGAGGUUCCAGGUAAAUCCGGUACCUUUUUAACGCUGAGGUGUGAUGACGAGGCACUACGGUGCUGAAGUAACAAAUGCCCUGCUUCCAGGAAAAGCCUCUAAGCAUCAGGUAACAUUGAAUCGUACCCCAAACCGACACAGGUGGUCAGGUAGAGAAUACCAAGGCGCUUGAGAGAACUCGGGUGAAGGAACUAGGCAAAAUGGUGCCGUAACUUCGGGAGAAGGCACGCUGAUAUGUAGGUGAAGCCCCUGCGGGUGGAGCUGAAAUCAGUCGAAGAUACCAGCUGGCUGCAACUGUUUAUUAAAAACACAGCACUGUGCAAACACGAAAGUGGACGUAUACGGUGUGACGCCUGCCCGGUGCCGGAAGGUUAAUUGAUGGGGUUAUCCGUAAGGAGAAGCUCUUGAUCGAAGCCCCGGUAAACGGCGGGCCGUAACUAUAACGGUCCUAAGGUAGCGAAAUUCCUUGUCGGGUAAGUUCCGACCUGCACGAAUGGCGUAAUGAUGGCCAGGCUGUCUCCACCCGAGACUCAGUGAAAUUGAACUCGCUGUGAAGAUGCAGUGUACCCGCGGCAAGACGGAAAGACCCCGUGAACCUUUACUAUAGCUUGACACUGAACAUUGAGCCUUGAUGUGUAGGAUAGGUGGGAGGCUUUGAAGCGUGGACGCCAGUCUGCGUGGAGCCAACCUUGAAAUACCACCCUUUAAUGUUUGAUGUUCUAACGUUGGCCCCUGACCGGGGUUGCGGACAGUGUCUGGUGGGUAGUUUGACUGGGGCGGUCUCCUCCCAAAGAGUAACGGAGGAGCACGAAGGUUAGCUAAUCCUGGUCGGACAUCAGGAGGUUAGUGCAAUGGCAUAAGCUAGCUUGACUGCGAGCGUGACGGCGCGAGCAGGUGCGAAAGCAGGUCAUAGUGAUCCGGUGGUUCUGAAUGGAAGGGCCAUCGCUCAACGGAUAAAAGGUACUCCGGGGAUAACAGGCUGAUACCGCCCAAGAGUUCAUAUCGACGGCGGUGUUUGGCACCUCGAUGUCGGCUCAUCACAUCCUGGGGCUGAAGUAGGUCCCAAGGGUAUGGCUGUUCGCCAUUUAAAGUGGUACGCGAGCUGGGUUUAGAACGUCGUGAGACAGUUCGGUCCCUAUCUGCCGUGGGCGCUGGAGAAUUGAGGGGGGCUGCUCCUAGUACGAGAGGACCGGAGUGGACGCAUCACUGGUGUUCGGGUUGUCAUGCCAAUGGCAUUGCCCGGUAGCUAAAUGCGGAAGAGAUAAGUGCUGAAAGCAUCUAAGCACGAAACUUGCCCCGAGAUGAGUUCUCCCUGAGACUUUAAGUCUCCUGAAGGAACGUUAAAGACGAUGACGUUGAUAGGUCGGGUGUGUAAGCGUAGCGAUACGUUGAGCUAACCGAUACUAAUGAACCGUGAGGCUUAACCUU
This 2906-nucleotide ribosomal RNA is filed under the name Klebsiella aerogenes. RNAcentral's name for it is "23S ribosomal RNA". It matches the Rfam family "Bacterial large subunit ribosomal RNA". Lineage: Bacteria; Pseudomonadati; Pseudomonadota; Gammaproteobacteria; Enterobacterales; Enterobacteriaceae. The record is from RNAcentral.